Molecule: ribosomal RNA, 484 nt
Filed under: uncultured bacterium
Lineage: Bacteria
Description: partial 16S ribosomal RNA
Rfam family: Bacterial small subunit ribosomal RNA
Source: RNAcentral
AUUGAACGCUGGCGGCAGGCCUAACACAUGCAAGUCGAGCGGAUGAAGGGAGCUUGCUCCUGGAUUCAGCGGCGGACGGGUGAGUAAUGCCUAGGAAUCUGCCUGGUAGUGGGGGAUAACGUCCGGAAACGGGCGCUAAUACCGCAUACGUCCUGAGGGAGAAAGGGGGGGAUCUUCGGACCUCACGCUAUCAGAUGAGCCUAGGUCGGAUUAGCGAGUUGGUGGGGUAAAGGCCUACCAAGGCGACGAUCCGUAACUGGUCUGAGAGGAUGAUCAGUCACACUGGAACUGAGACACGGUCCAGACUCCUACGGGAGGCAGCAGUGGGGAAUAUUGGACAAUGGGCGCAAGCCUGAUCCAGCCAUGCCGCGUGUGUGAAGAAGGUCUUCGGAUUGUAAAGCCCUUUAAGUUGGGAGGAAGGGCAGUAAGUUAAUACCUUGCUGUUUUGACGUUACCCACAGAAUAAGCACCGGCUAACUUCGUG